This 298-nucleotide ribosomal RNA is filed under the name Bothriocroton oudemansi. Its description in RNAcentral is "partial 12S small subunit ribosomal RNA". The record is from RNAcentral. Lineage: Eukaryota; Metazoa; Arthropoda; Arachnida; Ixodida; Ixodidae.
AUUAUGGCGGUAUUUUUAACUUUUCAGAGGAAUUUGCUCUUUAAUGGAUAAAACACCAAAAUCUUACUAAAAUUAGUGAAAUCAGUUUGUAUACCACUAUGAAAGUAAUACUUUACUAAUAAAUUACUUUAAUUUUUUAUAAAUAAAAAAUUAAAUUAAGUCAAGGUGCAGUAAAAAUUUUUGAAUGAAGUGAAUUACAUUACUUAAUAGAGAAAAGACUAUGAAAUUAAUUUAACUUAGGAUUUGAAAGUAAAUUUUUAAUAAAAUGAUUUAUUGAAAAAAGUUCAAAAAUAUGUAC